Molecule: ribosomal RNA, 531 nt
Filed under: uncultured bacterium
Lineage: Bacteria
Description: bacterial SSU rRNA
Rfam family: Bacterial small subunit ribosomal RNA
Source: RNAcentral
AAUAGAUACCCGGGUAGUCCACGCUGUAAACGGUGGGUACUAGGUGUGGGUCCAUUCCACGGGUUCCGUGCCGUAGCUAACGCUUUAAGUACCCCGCCUGGGAGUACGGCCGCAAGGCUAAAACUCAAAGGAAUUGACGGGGCCCGCACAAGCGGCGGAGCAUGCGGAUUAAUUCGAUGCAACGCGUAGAACCUUACCUGGGUUUGACAUGGAUCGGGAGCGCUCAGAGAUGGGUGUGCCUCUUUUGGGGUCGGUUCACAGGUGGUGCAUGGCUGUCGUCAGCUCGUGUCGUGAGAUGUUGGGUUAAGUCCCGCAACGAGCGCAACCCUUGUUCACUGUUGCCAGCACGUUAUGGUGGGGACUCAGUGGAGACCGCCGGGGUCAACUCGGAGGAAGUGGGGAUGACGUCAAGGUCAUCAUGCCCCUUAUGUCCAGGGCUUCACGCAUGCUACAAUGGCUGGUACAGAGAGUGGCAGCCUGUGAGGGUGAGCGAAUCUCGGAAANCCGGUNUCAGUUCGGAUUGGGGUCUGC